This 493-nucleotide ribosomal RNA is filed under the name uncultured bacterium. RNAcentral describes it as "partial 16S ribosomal RNA". It matches the Rfam family "Bacterial small subunit ribosomal RNA", at positions 30 to 507 of the family's 1533-position model. The record is from RNAcentral.
AGUGAACGCUGGCGGUAGGCCUAACACAUGCAAGUCGAACGGCAGCACAGUAAGAGCUUGCUCUUACGGGUGGCGAGUGGCGGACGGGUGAGGAGUACAUCGGAAUCUACUUUUUCGUGGGGGAUAACGUAGGGAAACUUACGCUAAUACCGCAUACGACCUACGGGUGAAAGCAGGGGAUCUUCGGACCUUGCGCGAAUGAAUGAGCCGAUGUCGGAUUAGCUAGUUGGCGGGGUAAAGGCCCACCAAGGCGACGAUCCGUAGCUGGUCUGAGAGAAUGAAGGGGCAGAUGGGGACUGUGAAACGGGCCAAACGCCCGCGGGAGGAAGCAGUAGGGAAUCUUUGGCAAUGGGGGACAGUCUGGACGAGCAACGCGGGGUGAGGGAAGAAGGUGUUCGGAUCGGAAAACUCUGUUGGUAGGGAAGAAAGAUGGGGAGAGUGGAAAGCUCAUCAAGUGACGGUAACUACCCAGAAAGGGACGGCUAACUACGUG